Molecule: ribosomal RNA, 469 nt
Filed under: uncultured bacterium
Lineage: Bacteria
Description: partial 16S ribosomal RNA
Rfam family: Bacterial small subunit ribosomal RNA
Source: RNAcentral
GAUGAACGCUGGCGGCGUGCUUAACACAUGCAAGUCGAACGGUGAAGCUCCAGCUUGCUGGAGUGGAUCAGUGGCGAACGGGUGAGUAACACGUGAGCAACCUGCCCCUGACUCUGGGAUAACAGCCGGAAACGGCUGCUAAUACCGGAUAUGCACCAUGAACGCAUGUUCUGUGGUGGGAAAGAUUUUUCGGUUGGGGAUGGGCUCGCGGCCUAUCAGCUUGUUGGUGAGGUAAUGGCUCACCAAGGCGUCGACGGGUAGCCGGCCUGAGAGGGUGACCGGCCACACUGGGACUGAGAAACGGCCCAGACUCCUACGGGAGGCAGCAGUGGGGAAUAGUGCACAAUGGGCGAAAGCCUGAUGCAGCAACGCCGCGUGAGGGAUGACGGCCUUCGGGUUGUAAACCUCUUUUAGCAGGGAAGAAGCGAGAGUGACGGUACCUGCAGAAAAAGCGCCGGCUAACUACGUG